This 3281-nucleotide long non-coding RNA is filed under the name Nothobranchius furzeri (turquoise killifish). RNAcentral's name for it is "lncRNA (ENSNFUG00015022009.1)". The record is from RNAcentral. Lineage: Eukaryota; Metazoa; Chordata; Actinopteri; Cyprinodontiformes; Nothobranchiidae.
GGGGAGUGAGCUAACAGCUGCAGGCUGAGCACACAACUGUUGAGUGCUCCUUGCACACAGCCUGUCCACAUGCAUGGCAAAAGCGUGCAUGCACGCUCCUCUUCCCUCUGCAAAGGUGGCAUCUUUUCUUUGUCUGCUCCUGGGCUGGACCUGGCUCCACUUUGCUGGACCGCGGCAAGCGAGUGCGCCUCGCCUGGGCUGGUCUCACCAUGGAGGUCCCAAGCUCCUGCAAGAACAGCCUUCGACGGAUGCUCCUCUUCUGUUGGUUCCAGGCCGGUUCCACAGACAGCCACAGGACCAGGGCAUUGUAGGCGCUCACAUCUAACAUGUUGCAGAAGAGCGACAUGGGCCAACGUCUGGUCUUGCGGCGGCAGCUGUAUGUUGCAACGAGCUGGAAUAAAAAUAAAUGAAUAAAUAAAUUACAUAUGCAAUUAGGUUGGUGAAUUAUAAUAAAACAAAAUAAAAUAAAUAAAUUACCUUGUCCAAGUUGUCAACUGCCCCUUUGCAGCGGUUGUAAUCGAUGAUUACGGUCGGCUUCUGCUGCGGUCCCUCCUGGAUCUGAACCUGAUGGUGUUUGGUGCUGAGGAGCAGAACGUUCCGCCGGCGCUUUGGAAUGUAGCUCACCGCGGUGGCGGUGGAGGUGAAGCCGAACAGGGAGGACAGAACCGCUCUGCUUUUCAUCUGGAGCAGCUGUGGGGGCAACUCUGGCUUGUUGCGCCUAACUGUUCCCACAAGACAGAUUUUUUUUUUAGCAGCUCCUCUCCAAGAACCAGCGAGGUGAAAAAAUUGUCCGUGGUGACAGUGCCAUACUAAGAAACAGUUGCAUAUUUUCAAAUCCUUUUCAUGAGCCAGUAUGUGCUAAAACGACUCUAUAGGUUAAUGAAAUGUUUCUCAGACCCCACUAUCCUCUGUGGGUCAGAAUACCAUACUUGUAAAUGCAGAGUGCCUGUCUGGUCUGUUGGAAUUGGAAAAAAAUUGACGUGACAUACCUGGCGCUGCAGGCUGCUUCCAGCACGUUUCCUACGUUUUAGAUCCUGAACUGCUGAUUUGUUUGAUUUAGUUACGGAUCACUCCAUUAGACACUAAAGAAGGCUGAGGAGACAUUUCAGCACUUAGAUUAAGGUGUUAAGAAGAUGAACACACAGCGAGGAGCUAAGUUUGCUUUUGGUUUUACUAAAUGGACACUAGGGGGUGCUAAAAGCUAGCAAAACUGCCAAGUGUGACUUAAAGAAGCACUUAUUUGUUUGAGAUAAAGCCAUUUAAAGAGCUAUACAUCAAGCAACACAUCAAACCCACAUCAGAGAUGUACCAUCUUAUCUGUUCACAUCUCAUUGCUCUUUUCUGGGUCUGACUCAUGGAGGCAGUAUCCUUGGCAAAAGAUGCCAAGAAUGUUCUUUUCCCAGCUACUUCCGCCUGCGUCUCAGUGGUGUUACAAGAUCUUUACGAGCCAGCCUGCAGAUAUGAUCCCUGCAGCGCGUUCUGGGUCAGCUCCUGGAUGUCCUACCUGAAAGACGUGCCCGAAUGCCUAAGAAGCAUACAAGGCAGCGCCAUACCCACACACUAGGGUCAUCUCAGCAGGUUCCUGUCAGACUCUGUCCUUUCUUGAUGUCCAAACUUCUCAACUUAUCUUUAUAUUUACCCUGCAAAUUAAACUCAUCACUGUCACCUUCUAUUCUUUCGGUGAGGUUGGAGAUCAGCCAGUAAAUAAAAAUCUUCAUCUCACAGUGUAGCUCCCAUUCAAUACCAUAGAUGCUUCUCCAAAGCACUGGUAGCUGUCCAGUUCCCUCAUUCCCUCACUUCAUCAAUAAGACCCCAUCCAUCCAUCAAUUUUUGUCUGCUUAUCCGGAGUUGGGCAGCAGCCUAAGAAGGGAGACCCAGACUGCCCUCUCCACAGCCACUUGGGCCAGCUCCUCCAGGAGAAUCCUAAGGUGUUCCCUAGCCAGCCAAGAGACAUAGUCCCUCCAUCGUGCCCUGGAUCUUCCUUUAAGGCUCCUCCUGGUUGGACGUGCCUCACCAGGGAGGUGUCCAGGAGGCAUCCUAACCAGAUGCCCGAGCCACCUCAAAUGGCUCCUGUUGAUGUGGAGGAGGAGCAGAUCUACUUCGAGCUCCUCUCGGAUGACCGAGCUUCUCACCCCAUCUCUAAGGCAGCGCCCAGACACCCUUCAGACGAAACUCAUUUUGGCCACUUGUAUCCACAAUCUCAAAGCUCGUGACCACAGAUGAGGUUUGGAACGUCGAACGACUGGUAUAUGAAGUGAUCUACCUUUCAGCUUAGCUCUCUCCUCACCACGACAGAUCGUUACAACGCCCACAUCACUGCAGAUGAAGCACCGACCCACCUAUCGAUCUCGUGCUUCAUCUUUCCCUCACUUGUCAACAAGAUCCUGAAAUAUUCAAACUCCUCCUAUAGAGCUCUGGGAGUUGACGUCACUUCUCCCGGCAUGCAACAGUUCAAAUCGAAACGGCGCCAUAUUGGCAUGCAGAAGCCCGCAGCUGGACUAUUUGUUAUUGUCAGAAAACUCAAUCAAACGGGAAAUGUGGUAGAUUCCUGUUGUGCCCCAGGAUGCAGAACAGACGCGGACGACAUAAGGAAUGAGGCAUCUACAGGAUUCCCCAAGAUCCGGAGCGCCACAAACGUUGGAUCAUUGUAAUAAAACGCGCUAGUGACCGGAUAAAAUGAAACUGUGGGAUCCCGAGAGUAAAGGUUUUUGCUUAUGCAGCGACCGCUUCAUAUCAGGUACUUAAACCAACGUUUCCUCAACUGUAUAUGGUAUUUACGAUUAUUAUUGGGCUUCCUAAACUUAUUUUGGCGUGGCUUUUUCUGUCUUAUUACUCAUAGCAACAAGUAAACAUCACGUAAAACGUUGCCUCGUGAGUUCUGCGUGCUGCCGUUUACGUGUUUUAUGAUCACAGCAAUUAACCGGCUAAGCUGUAUUUAAUUUUUAAGCAAUGGUUGAUCAAUUGUCAGAUCACACAUAAAAAGCACUUUGGAUUGCUAUUAUCUGUCUCACCGAGACAGAUCUCAGACAGAUCCUGAGACGCUCCUGCCUGACAUAUUUAUUUUAUUCACGGAAAAAAAUCAAACUAGUGAUUUCUCUUGGCGUUCAGUUUAUACAUUCAAACAGCACAGCACUCUAUUUAAACUACUUACGUGUAAAUCUGUUAUUUGUCCAUCCAUCCAUCCAUUUUCAUCCGCUUAUCCGGAGUCGGGUUGCGGGGGCAGUAGCGUCGAGAGGCCCAGACUUCCCUCUCCCCAGCCACUUGGGCCAGCUCCUCCGGGG